GGAGUUGUGCCUGAAACAAAGGGCCACUAUGAUAGAGUGGAUUAUGGAGGUUAAAAUCCUCCCAGCUCCU
Molecule: transfer RNA, 70 nt
Filed under: Morone saxatilis (striped sea-bass)
Lineage: Eukaryota; Metazoa; Chordata; Actinopteri; Moronidae
Also listed under: 1 other name
Description: tRNA-Ile
Rfam family: tRNA
About the family: Transfer RNA (tRNA) molecules are approximately 80 nucleotides in length.
Source: RNAcentral